Molecule: ribosomal RNA, 1038 nt
Filed under: uncultured bacterium
Lineage: Bacteria
Description: bacterial SSU rRNA
Rfam family: Bacterial small subunit ribosomal RNA
Source: RNAcentral
UGCCAAAAAAAAGAAAGCCCCCCGGCUUAAUUCCGUGCCAAGACAGACCCCGGUAAUCCGGAAGGGGUGGGAGCGUUUAUUGGAAUUUCUUGGGGGUAAAGCGCAUGCAGGUGGUUUGUUUAAGUCAGAUGUGAAAGCCCGGGGCUCAACCUCGGAGUUGCAUUUGAAACUGGCAAACUAGAGUCCUGUAGAGGGGGGUAGAAUUUCAGGUGUAGCGGUGAAAUGCGUAGAGAUCUGAAGGAAUACCGGUGGCGAAGGCGGCCCCCUGGACAGAUACUGACACUCAGAUGCGAAAGCGUGGGGAGCAAACAGGAUUAGAUACCCUGGUAGUCCACGCCGUAAACGAUGUCUACUUGGAGGUUGUGGCCUUGAGCCGUGGCUUUCGGAGCUAACGCGUUAAGUAGACCGCCUGGGGAGUACGGUCGCAAGAUUAAAACUCAAAUGAAUUGACGGGGGCCCGCACAAGCGGUGGAGCAUGUGGUUUAAUUCGAUGCAACGCGAAGAACCUUACCUACUCUUGACAUCUACAGAAGCCAGCGGAGACGCAGGUGUGCCUUCGGGAACUGUAAGACAGGUGCUGCAUGGCUGUCGUCAGCUCGUGUUGUGAAAUGUUGGGUUAAGUCCCGCAACGAGCGCAACCCUUAUCCUUGUUUGCCAGCACUUCGGGUGGGAACUCCAGGGAGACUGCCGGUGAUAAACCGGAGGAAGGUGGGGACGACGUCAAGUCAUCAUGGCCCUUACGAGUAGGGCUACACACGUGCUACAAUGGCGCAUACAGAGGGCGGCCAACUUGCGAAAGUGAGCGAAUCCCAAAAAGUGCGUCGUAGUCCGGAUUGGAGUCUGCAACUCGACUCCAUGAAGUCGGAAUCGCUAGUAAUCGUGGAUCAGAAUGCCACGGUGAAUACGUUCCCGGGCCUUGUACACACCGCCCGUCACACCAUGGGAGUGGGCUGCAAAAGAAGUGGGUAGUUUAACCUUCGGGAGGACGCUCACCACUUUGUGGUUCAUGACUGGGGGGAAGUCGUAACAAGGUAACCG